AUUGAACGCUGGCGGAAUGCUUUACACAUGCAAGUCGGGCGGCAGCGCGGGGGCAACCCUGGCGGCGAGCGGCGAACGGGUGAGUAACACAUCGGAACGUACCCUGUCGUGGGGGAUAACGAAUCGAAAGAUUCGCUAAUACCGCAUACGACCUGAGGGUGAAAGCGGGGGAUCGCAAGACCUCGCGCGAGAGGAGCGGCCGAUGGCGGAUUAGCUAGUUGGUGGGGUAAAGGCCCACCAAGGCGACGAUCCGUAGCGGGUCUGAGAGGACGGCCCGCCACACUGGGACUGAGACACGGCCCAGACUCCUACGGGAGGCAGCAGUGGGGAAUUUUGGACAAUGGGGGCAACCCUGAUCCAGCCAUUCCGCGUGAGUG
This 377-nucleotide ribosomal RNA is filed under the name uncultured bacterium. Its description in RNAcentral is "bacterial SSU rRNA". It matches the Rfam family "Bacterial small subunit ribosomal RNA", at positions 29 to 407 of the family's 1533-position model. The record is from RNAcentral.